RNAcentral lists this ribosomal RNA (468 nucleotides) under uncultured bacterium. RNAcentral's name for it is "partial 16S ribosomal RNA". It matches the Rfam family "Bacterial small subunit ribosomal RNA", at positions 28 to 507 of the family's 1533-position model. The record is from RNAcentral.
GACGAACGCUGGCGGCGUGCUUAACACAUGCAAGUCGAACGGACAGGCCCUGCUUUUGUGGGUUUCUCGAUUGCCGCACGCGUGUGUAACACGCGAGUAACCCGUCCUUGACUUUGUGAUAACUUCUCGAAACUCCGGCUCUUAUCCCAUAUGACCUCCUGCUGCAUAUGGUGCGUUGGAGAGUUUCGGCGGUUCUGGAUGGACUCGCUGCUUAUCCGCUUGUUGGUGUGGUAGUUGCUUACCAAGGCUUUGACGGGUACCCGGCCUGAGAGGGUUAACGGCGACAUUGGGACUGAGAGACGGAGCAGACGGCUACGGGAGGCAGCAGGGGGGAAUAUUGCACAAUGGGCGGAAGCCUGAUGAAGAAACGCCGCGUGCGGGAUGACGGGCUUCGGGGGGAAAACAGCUUUGGCCUGUGACGAAGCGGGAGUGACGGUAAUGGGUAAAGAAGCAACGGCUAACUACGUG